AGGGUUUGAUCCUGGCUCAGGACGAACGCUGGCGGCACGCCUAACACAUGCAAGUCGAACGGAGAAUAUUGGAUUUAUUCAUUAUUCUUAGUGGCGGACGGGUGAGUAACACGUGAGCAACCUGCCUCUAAGAGAGGGAUAGCUUCUGGAAACGGAUGGUAAUACCUCAUAACAUAAUCAUACCGCAUGGUGAGAUUAUCAAAGAUUUAUCACUUAGAGAUGGGCUCGCGUCUGAUUAGCUGGAUGGUGAGGUAACGGCUCACCAUGGCGACGAUCAGUAGCCGGACUGAGAGGUUGAACGGCCACAUUGGGACUGAGACACGGCCCAG
RNAcentral lists this ribosomal RNA (329 nucleotides) under uncultured bacterium. Its description in RNAcentral is "bacterial SSU rRNA". It matches the Rfam family "Bacterial small subunit ribosomal RNA", at positions 8 to 334 of the family's 1533-position model. The record is from RNAcentral.